This 69-nucleotide transfer RNA is filed under the name Acreichthys tomentosus. RNAcentral's name for it is "tRNA-His". It matches the Rfam family "tRNA". Rfam says of the family: Transfer RNA (tRNA) molecules are approximately 80 nucleotides in length. Their secondary structure includes four short double-helical elements and three loops (D, anti-codon, and T loops). Further hydrogen bonds mediate the characteristic L-shaped molecular structure. tRNAs have two regions of fundamental functional importance: the anti-codon, which is responsible for specific mRNA codon recognition, and the 3' end, to which the tRNAs corresponding amino acid is attached (by aminoacyl-tRNA synthetases). tRNAs cope with the degeneracy of the genetic code in two manners: having more than one tRNA (with a specific anti-codon) for a particular amino acid; and 'wobble' base-pairing, i.e. permitting non-standard base-pairing at the 3rd anti-codon position. Lineage: Eukaryota; Metazoa; Chordata; Actinopteri; Tetraodontiformes; Monacanthidae. The record is from RNAcentral.
GUAGGCAUAGUUUAACUAAAACAUUAGAUUGUGAUUCUAAAAACAGAGGUUAAAAUCCUCUUGUCCACC